GAUGAACGCUAGCGGCAGGCUUAACACAUGCAAGUCGAGGGGUAGAAGUUGCUUGCAACUUUGAGACCGGCGCACGGGUGCGUAACGCGUAUGCAAUCUACCUUAUACAGAGGGAUAGCCCAGAGAAAUUUGGAUUAAUACCUCAUAGUAUAAUUGAAUGGCACCAUUUAAUUAUUAAAGUUCUAACGGUAUAAGAUGAGCAUGCGUCCUAUUAGCUAGAUGGUAAGGUAACGGCUUACCAUGGCAACGAUAGGUAGGGGUCCUGAGAGGGAGAUCCCCCACACUGGUACUGAGACACGGACCAGACUCCUACGGGAGGCAGCAGUGAGGAAUAUUGGACAAUGGGCGCAAGCCUGAUCCAGCCAUGCCGCGUGCAGGAAGAAGCAUCUAUGGUGUGUAAACUGCUUUUGUACGGGAAGAAACACCCCUUCGUGAAGGGACUUGACGGUACCGUAAGAAUAAGGAUCGGCUAACUCCGUGCCAGCCGCCGCAGUAA
This 496-nucleotide ribosomal RNA is filed under the name uncultured bacterium. Its description in RNAcentral is "partial 16S ribosomal RNA". It matches the Rfam family "Bacterial small subunit ribosomal RNA", at positions 28 to 523 of the family's 1533-position model. The record is from RNAcentral.